GACGAACGCUGGCGGCGUGCUUAACACAUGCAAGUCGAACGAUGAAGCCGGAGCUUGCUCCGGUGGAUUAGUGGCGAACGGGUGAGUAACACGUGAGCAAUCUGCCCUUGACUCUGGGAUAACUGCGGGAAACUGUAGCUAAUACCGGAUAACAUUUUGAACCGCAUGGUUCGAAAUUGAAAGGCGGCUUCGGCUGUCACUUAUGGAUGGACCCGCGUCGCAUUAGCUAGUUGGUGAGGUAACGGCUCACCAAGGCAACGAUGCGUAGCCGACCUGAGAGGGUGAUCGGCCACACUGGGACUGAGACACGGCCCAGACUCCUACGGGAGGCAGCAGUGGGGAAUAUUGCACAAUGGGCGCAAGCCUGAUGCAGCAACGCCGCGUGAGGGAUGAAGGCCUUCGGGUUGUAAACCUCUUUAGCAGGGAAGAAGCGAAAGUGACGGUACCUGCAGAAAAAGCACCGGCUAACUACGUGCCAGCAGCCGCCGCAG
This 491-nucleotide ribosomal RNA is filed under the name uncultured bacterium. RNAcentral's name for it is "partial 16S ribosomal RNA". It matches the Rfam family "Bacterial small subunit ribosomal RNA", at positions 28 to 523 of the family's 1533-position model. The record is from RNAcentral.